Molecule: long non-coding RNA, 613 nt
Filed under: Apteryx owenii (little spotted kiwi)
Lineage: Eukaryota; Metazoa; Chordata; Aves; Apterygiformes; Apterygidae
Description: lncRNA (ENSAOWG00000017668.1)
Source: RNAcentral
CUACCGCAGAAAAGUCUGCGAAAGAUUCUUGGCCAUAAACCUGCGGUUUUAAAGCAAGAUGACUGCACCAUUUCUUGGCUGGACUUGAGCUUGUUGUUCUUCAUCACUCCUUGGCUGGGUCAGUUUGAUUGCUGCUUCAGAAUACUGAUGUUUCUUAAUCAUCUCCCUUUGUUUUCCGGUUAAGUGACUGGGUGAAUAAUUUGCCACAUAUUCUCUGUUAAUCCACUAUGUUGUGAAAGGACAGUUGAAACAAUACACAUGCUCUUACUUUCACAAAUUUGUCAUUACAGCAUGAUCAGAUUGUUUGCACGUAUCCUGGUUUUGCAUAGACUAAUUCCAUAUUCUUGGGGGGGGGGGCAGUGGGGGGGGGGGGGGCACAGGUGUUGGGGGGGGGGGGAACGGACCAGAAGAAAUUCAUCAUCCUUGGUCCACAGAAAUAAACUGAGCAAGAACACGGUAUCUUUACAUUCUCAAAGGACUAAGGAGGUUUCUCCUGAUACAAUUCCACUUCUCAUUUUCAAAAAAAGUCUGUAUAUAAUCAAUGCACUUAACUUAAAGCUUUAAGUUUUAGUAACUUCAUUUAGACUUUGUUUAUAAAACAAACACACACAAG